UUUAUGAGUGCAGGCCUGAGCUGUUCAGAGAACCUGGAGGGGUCAUCUCAGGUAGUUUGUCAAAUCACUGAUUGUUUCGCCAUCCUUGCUUGCCCACUCAUUUGUGUCUUAAAUAUGAUUAAUGUUCAUGAGAAGUGUAACCAAAAGAGGACUAAUCUGCUACAACUCCUCUCCUUUGGGGAGAUUCAAAGGUUAACGUGUGAAGUUUAUUAUGCCUGCUCUUGGUGGGGGUCAGAAAAUCUUUCUAGCAUAUGUGCCAACGUGCUCCUUCCAGACUGACAGGACCAAACAAAGAACCUUCCAUACAGACAUGCAGUCAUUUACUGAAUGGUAUUGAAAAGAUUUUAACCUCCAUAGAACACUGUAUGACAUAUAUAACAGUCAAAAGUCAACCUUUCAGAAUCUAGGGAACUAAUUUAGUACCUGUGCCACCCAAAUAUCUUUUCUCCUCUGAAUACAAGGAUAGAUGCAGUGUCAUAAGCCCCUGUGCUUUACUUCUGUAACUUUAUGAAUGAAUCUAUGACAAAUGCAUAUCUUUAUCUGGUUUCUCAAAAAGGAAUAAAAUAACCUAACUAUCUUUGAGUCGAAAACACAACUCAAUGAGAAGAUUAUUACAAAUAGGCCUAAGUGUUGCUUCACAAAUAAGAGAACAAUGUGAUGUAGAUGAAGACGUGGAAAUCAAAAUAUAAAAGCCAAGAUUAAGAUUUUAAGUCGAAGCUGAUUUCUCAUAUCAUCUUUCUACAAACUCUACAAAUGAUGGACAUCAGGAAAACACAUCCAUAAACACUAUUUUAUCUGAUGCGUUAAACUCAAUACAUGUAGGAUUCUCGCCUUUGGUUAUUAGGACUUCUAUCUGUAUCGCCUCCAAACUUUCCACACAUUCCUGAGGCAUCUUGGCAUCGUACAGCUGAGAGGUACAUUAAGCUUUUGUUGACAACUUUGAAAACGUGCCCAACCUCUUCUCAUCUGUCGAAUAAUAAUCUGCGUAUGCUGCCGACCACGAGGCGAACGACCUGUCACUCAAACUGCAGUUUUGUACUUACGUGUAGGUGAGGUGAAUAUUUGAUGAAGAAGCAGCACGAGACACCAGAACCAAAUCAUAUUUCUCGUGGAAUACUCUUUGAUAAACACGCCGGUCGGGGAAAGUUAAGUCUUGUAGGUCAACUACACUCAACUACAACCUGUAUUUGGUCCAGGAUGAGGAUGAUAAGUCAAUGUAACUGUGUGCAGGAUUCCUGAGAUAGAAGCUCAGCAUUUCAUCUAGGCAGAGGGAGAGCCAUACUAUGACACUGUUUCCAGUACCAUCACGGCCACUGAGGUGAAGAUGUGUGAAAAUGUGCUUGCCUUCAUCUAGAGGGCGCCUUGUGUCUCAUACUUGGUGAG
Molecule: long non-coding RNA, 1383 nt
Organism: Clupea harengus (Atlantic herring)
Lineage: Eukaryota; Metazoa; Chordata; Actinopteri; Clupeiformes; Clupeidae
Exons: 4
Source: RefSeq, a predicted model, not a curated record